GUGCUCUCUUCGACAGCACAUAUACUAAAACCGGAAUGAUACAGAGAAGAUUAGCAUGGCCCCUACGCAAGGAUGACAUGCAAAUUCAUGAAGCAUUCCAUAUUUUU
Molecule: small nuclear RNA, 107 nt
Filed under: Propithecus coquereli (Coquerel's sifaka)
Lineage: Eukaryota; Metazoa; Chordata; Mammalia; Primates; Indriidae
Source: RNAcentral